CUCAUAAGCAGAAAUUGACAGGCGAAGCGAAAAUCUUUGUUGAAAGCAAUGUAGUGUUGAAUAAAAAUCGCUCACUAUCUUUCCUUUAAACCCUCAUAACUUUGUCACUUCUUUAUCUUUUUUCACCGUAGACAGACGGUUGAUUUUGAAAUUGCGCGUCAAAUUUUUUCCCAAAUCAUAAAAACCUAUGCAUUGUACUGUAACUGAAAAUACACCUGAACUUUAAUGACCCAGUCACUGAUAACAAUCACGUGACAUAUGCGAUUUAUCUAAUAGCCCGAACUACUCGCGGUAACAGCCGGUACAUCAGAGGGCCAUGUCAAGUGGGUGAUAAACAUGUCGGUUUCUUUAUAAUUUUAUUAUUUUUCUCUGAUCGAACUGCUAUCCUGGGGAUGCGUAUUUUGUAUCAAGCAGAGUGUUCACUCUCCUUCUAAUAUAACCUCCUUGCUCAUAUUAA
Molecule: long non-coding RNA, 457 nt
Filed under: Mytilus galloprovincialis (Mediterranean mussel)
Lineage: Eukaryota; Metazoa; Mollusca; Bivalvia; Mytilida; Mytilidae
Source: RNAcentral